UACGUAGGGGGCGAGCGUUGUCCGGAAUCAUUGGGCGUAAGAGCUCGUAGGCGGUUCAGCAAGUCGGCUGUGAAAUUCCGAGGCUCAACCUCGGAACUGCAGUCGAUACUGCUGUGACUCGAGUCCGGUAGAGGAGAAUGGAAUUCCCGGUGUAGCGGUGAAAUGCGCAGAUAUCGGGAGGAACACCAGUAGCGAAGGCGGUUCUCUGGGCCGGUACUGACGCUGAGGAGCGAAAGCGUGGGGAGCAAACAGG
RNAcentral lists this ribosomal RNA (253 nucleotides) under uncultured bacterium. RNAcentral describes it as "partial 16S ribosomal RNA". It matches the Rfam family "Bacterial small subunit ribosomal RNA", at positions 524 to 776 of the family's 1533-position model. The record is from RNAcentral.